AGAGUUUGAUCCUGGCUCAGGAUGAACGCUAGCUACAGGCUUAACACAUGCAAGUCGAGGGGAAACGAUAUUGGAAGCUUGCUUCCGAUAGGCGUCGACCGGCGCACGGGUGAGUAACGCGUAUCCAACCUGCCCACCACUUGGGAAUAACCUUGCGAAAGUAAGACUAAUACCCAAUGACGUCUCUAGAAGACAUCUGAAAGGGAUUAAAGAUUUAUCGGUGAUGGAUGGGGAUGCGUCUGAUUAGCUUGUUGGCGGGGUAACGGCCCACCAAGGCGACGACCAGUAGGGGUUCUGAGAGGAAGGUCCCCCACAUUGGAACUGAGACACGGUCCAAACUCCUACGGGAGGCAGCAGUGAGGAAUAUUGGUCAAUGGACGAGAGUCUGAACCAGCCAAGUAGCGUGCAGGAUGACGGCCCUAUGGGUUGUAAACUGCUUUUAUAAGGGAAUAAAGUGAGUCUCGUGAGACUUUUUGCAUGUACCUUAUGAAUAAGGACCGGCUAAUUCCGUGCCAGCAGCCGCGGUAAUACGGAAGGUCCGGGCGUUAUCCGGAUUUAUUGGGUUUAAAGGGAGCGUAGGCCGGAGAUUAAGCGUGUUGUGAAAUGUAGAUGCUCAACAUCUGCACUGCAGCGCGAACUGGUUUCCUUGAGUACGCACAAAGUGGGCGGAAUUCGUGGUGUAGCGGUGAAAUGCUUAGAUAUCACGAAGAACUCCGAUUGCGAAGGCAGCUCACUGGAGCGCAACUGACGCUGAAGCUCGAAAGUGCGGGUAUCGAACAGGAUUAGAUACCCUGGUAGUCCGCACGGUAAACGAUG
RNAcentral lists this ribosomal RNA (816 nucleotides) under uncultured bacterium. RNAcentral's name for it is "bacterial SSU rRNA". It matches the Rfam family "Bacterial small subunit ribosomal RNA", at positions 8 to 811 of the family's 1533-position model. The record is from RNAcentral.